This 253-nucleotide ribosomal RNA is filed under the name uncultured bacterium. RNAcentral's name for it is "partial 16S ribosomal RNA". It matches the Rfam family "Bacterial small subunit ribosomal RNA", at positions 524 to 776 of the family's 1533-position model. The record is from RNAcentral.
UACGGGGGGUGCGAGCGUUGUCCGGAAUCACUGGGCGUAAAGGGCGCGUAGGUGGCCUGAUAAGGGUGUGGUGAAAGUCCGGGGCUCAACCCCGGAUCUGCCGUGCCGACUGUUAGGCUAGAGUACUGUAGGGGCAGGCGGAAUUCCGGGUGUAGCGGUGGAAUGCGUAGAGGUCCGGAGGAAGACCGGUGGCGAAGGCGGCCUGCUGGGCAGUUACUGACACUGAGGCGCGACAGCGUGGGGAGCAAACAGG